RNAcentral lists this ribosomal RNA (255 nucleotides) under uncultured soil bacterium. Its description in RNAcentral is "partial 16S ribosomal RNA". It matches the Rfam family "Bacterial small subunit ribosomal RNA", at positions 26 to 286 of the family's 1533-position model. The record is from RNAcentral.
AGGACGAACGCUGGCGGCGUGCUUAACACAUGCAAGUCAAGCGGAAAGGCCCUUCGGGGUACUCGAGCGGCGAACGGGUGAGUAACACGUGGGCAACCUGCCCCUAGCUCUGGGACAACUCCGGGAAACCGGGCUAAUACCGGAUACGAUCUUCCACGGCAUCUCGGAAGAUGGAAAGUUUUUUCGGCUAGGGAUGGGCCCGCGGCCUAUCAGCUUGUUGGUGAGGUAACGGCCCACCAAGGCGACGACGGGUAG